Molecule: small nuclear RNA, 107 nt
Filed under: Jaculus jaculus (lesser Egyptian jerboa)
Lineage: Eukaryota; Metazoa; Chordata; Mammalia; Rodentia; Dipodidae
Source: RNAcentral
GUGCUUGCUUCAGCACCACAUAUACUAAAAUUGGAACAAUACAGAGAAAAUUAGCAUGGUCCUUGAGCAAGGGAGACAUGUAAAUUUGUGAAGCAUUCCAUAUUUUA